CCAAUAGCGUAUAUUAAAGUUGUUGCAGUUAAAAAGCUCGUAGUUGAACUUCGGGGUUUACCCAUUGGUCAGGCUUAAUUGUCUGUACUGGUGAGAUAAAUCUCUACCUUCUGAGGAACUUUCAUGCCAUUUAGUUGGUGUGAUAGGAAAUCAGGACUGUUACUUUGAAAAAAUUAGAGUGUUUAAAGCAGGCUAACGUCUGAAUACAUUAGCAUGGAAUAAUGAAAUAGGACGGCAUGAUUCUAUUUUGUUGGUUUCUAGGAUCACCGUAAUGAUUAAUAAGGAUAGUUGGGGGCAUUAGUAUUCAAUUGUCAGAGGUGAAAUUCUUGGAUUUAUUGAAGACUAACUACUGCGAAAGCAUUUGCCAAGGAUGUUUUCAUUAAUCAAGAACGAAAGUUAGGGGAUCGAAGACGAUCAGAUACCGUCGUAGUCUUAACCAUAAACUAUGCCGACUAGGAAUCAGACGAUGUUAAUUUUUUAAUGACUCGUUUGGCACCUUACG
RNAcentral lists this unclassified non-coding RNA (502 nucleotides) under uncultured Glomeromycotina. RNAcentral describes it as "SSU rRNA". It matches the Rfam family "Eukaryotic small subunit ribosomal RNA", at positions 591 to 1092 of the family's 1831-position model. The record is from RNAcentral. Lineage: Eukaryota; Fungi; Glomeromycota.